GGGCGAUUAACUCAGCGGUGAGAGUGCCACCUUCACACGGUGGAAGUCACAGGUUCAAAUCCUGUAUCGCCCA
This 73-nucleotide transfer RNA is filed under the name Desulfomicrobium norvegicum. RNAcentral describes it as "tRNA_Val_CAC". It matches the Rfam family "tRNA". Rfam says of the family: Transfer RNA (tRNA) molecules are approximately 80 nucleotides in length. Their secondary structure includes four short double-helical elements and three loops (D, anti-codon, and T loops). Lineage: Bacteria; Pseudomonadati; Thermodesulfobacteriota; Desulfovibrionia; Desulfovibrionales; Desulfomicrobiaceae. RNAcentral also lists the same sequence under 1 other name. The record is from RNAcentral.